RNAcentral lists this long non-coding RNA (645 nucleotides) under Penaeus japonicus. Its description in RNAcentral is "uncharacterized LOC122252418". The record is from RNAcentral. Lineage: Eukaryota; Metazoa; Arthropoda; Malacostraca; Decapoda; Penaeidae.
GAGCGAGGAAUGAGUUUGUCUAGUGUGUGGAGGAGGGAGGGUGUGCUGUGCGGCGCUCCGGAGGACUCACACUCGCGCCGCUCUGUCGCUCGCUGUCAACGCUCGUUCAGCCAUUUCUGGAGCUCGUAGUGUGUUUUGUGUGACGUGGAGAGCUUUCUUGAUGAAUGGUGGUGUGUGUUAGGAGGAGCUGGUGAGCGGCUUUGAGGAAAAAUACCCAUUUAAGUUGAUAUAUACCAGCAGUGAUCCGAUCUGAAGUGGCAUAAUAUAGUCGAGUUUUCAAAGAAUUGACUGGAUACAUUAUGAUUGGAGAUGGUUAGUGCACGUAUAGGGUGAGGCUUGUCAGCACACCCCGUCAGGAAUGGUGAAAAGACCGUGAGCAUGGGCUGGUAACAACAGUAUGGUCUCAGGGACUGUGGUGAGCGCCGGCACGGUCUCUCCUCACCACAAGUAUGUGGCGGUCACGCUCAUCACGCACGAGACGCUCACUUUCGCCGUUGAGGUGAAGAGCAGAGUCGCCGAGGUCUACAGCCAGGUGUGCUCGUACCUGCAGCAGCUGGGUAUGCAAGACACCGAUCUCUUCGGACUGGCCACUGUCAUCGGUAAGUGGACGCCGCUCUCGCCUUCGGGGGUUGCGUGUGUGUGUGU